AUCAGCAAACACCAGGGUGAAAAGUAAACCCCGAAAUGGAUUAUCUACCCAGGGUUGGAGAUACCAAGUUCAUUGCGUUUCAGGGUCAGUUCCACUCUGUGCUAGACUACACACAUCAUGUAACCAAGAGCUGACAGUUGAGAAGAGCCACCAGGGAAGCUUUUGCAGAACAAUCUGCCGCUGCAGUUAUCAGCUCCUGGUCUUCUCUCAUGGCUGACAGAGAUGAGGCUGUCAUGACACGGACGGCAGGCUUCAGGAUUCACGGACAGCCCUACCCAAGAUGCCUCCCCACUCAAAGGCCACCUGGGAUUUCGAAGUCUUGAGAAAGAACUAAACAGCCACCCAACACAGAGUUGAAGAAUACAGGAAGAAGACAUGAAGAAUGGCAAUGCUGGCCUUCCUGCCCUCACCCCACUGGUGAACUACAACCUAUGGUGCUCUCCAAGUAAGAACCAGAAUCUUUGCACUCUCCUUGGCUGCUGCUGGAUCCCUUCCCACGUUCGCAUGGUCCCACUGGCCUGGAAAGCCACCUCACCUGCCCAGACUGCAGAUGCUGAAACCAUUCAGUCUCCUCUCGGUGGCUCCUCCAGACACCAUCUCCUAACUGUGUCACUCUUAUGUUGAUAUUUGGGCACAUAUGGGGACAGGUGCUCAUCAAAGUACUUAAAACACUUUGUUCAGUGAGUGGCUAGGCCUUGAAAAGCAGGAACCACUAUUAGUCUAUUGUUAAGAUGAGAAGCAGGCUCCAGCCCAAGGUCAGUGGUGGAGCUGGGAUUCGAACCCAGGUAGUACCAUUAUAGUACAGAGGGAGUGGGCAGGACACGUGUUAAGUUGUUCGGUACGAUGACACCAGGCUUAUAACACAUCACCCCAGGUAAUAACUAAGACAACAUUAAAUGUCACCAGAAAAGGCGGGUCCCCUGCCGUAUAAGCCCCAAGAAGGGAGAGAUUUUGUAUUCCUGGAGCUUAGGCUCUGCCUAGCAUAAUGUAGCUGCACAAUUAAAUACUGUUAAGUGAGUAUGGAUACAGAAUGGGGUUCAUUUGUCUUCUGAUGCCUACACACCCAACAUCUUUGAGGAUUGUUCUAAAGUAGUUUGCUUUGCUUUUAGGUAGGAACUCAUUGUGUGGCCCUGGCUGGCUUGGAAUUUGCUAUAUAGACCAGGCUGGCCCCUGCAUCUCUGUGCUAGGAUUAAAGGCUUG
Long non-coding RNA from Microtus oregoni (creeping vole), 1200 nucleotides. RefSeq lists it as uncharacterized. The record is from RefSeq and is a predicted model, not a curated record. NCBI's taxonomy places the organism in Eukaryota, Metazoa, Chordata, Mammalia, Rodentia, Cricetidae. The transcript is spliced from 3 exons.